RNAcentral lists this ribosomal RNA (450 nucleotides) under uncultured bacterium. RNAcentral's name for it is "bacterial SSU rRNA". It matches the Rfam family "Bacterial small subunit ribosomal RNA", at positions 354 to 796 of the family's 1533-position model. The record is from RNAcentral.
GUGGGGAAUUUUGGACAAUGGGCGCAAGCCUGAUCCAGCAAUGCCGCGUGAGUGAUGAAGGCCUUCGGGUUGUAAAGCUCUGUGGGGAGGGAAGAAAAAGCGGGAGAGUAACUGCUCUCGUGUUGACGGUACCUCCUUAGCAAGCACCGGCUAACUCUGUGCCAGCAGCCGCGGUAAUACAGAGGGUGCAAACGUUGCUCGGAAUUACUGGGCGUAAAGCGCGUGUAGGCUGACAUGCAAGUCGGGUGUGAAAUCCCAGGGCUCAACCUUGGAACUGCACUCGAAACUGCACGUCUUGAGUACUGGAGAGGGAAGCGGAAUUCCGGGUGUAGAGGUGAAAUUCGUAGAUAUCCGGAGGAACACCAGUGGCGAAGGCGGCUUCCUGGACAGUAACUGACGCUGAGACGCGAAAGCGUGGGGAGCAAACAGGAUUAGAUACCCGGGUAGUCC